CGAAAACACGACAUAAAUAAAGGCGUGCGAGCACGGACGUAGAGCGGCAAGCUAAGAGAUGAGAGCUUGCUUAAUAAGACGUACGUUAUGCUUCUUCGCUUUGACGCGCAAGGGUAGAAGAAGAAGUAGACAGAUGGAGUUUGCUCUUAGUUAAUCCUCCCGACUUGCAACAAGGAAAAGAGACUGAAAAAGUGUGGAGAACUUCUCGGCUUAGCUAGACCCCGGAUUGUAAACUUGUAGAAACAUUUUCCUGACACGCUGGGGCAAAAAAGUCUUUUGGAACAAAGGCAUCAUAGAGGGUGAGAAUCCCCGUCUUUGGCCCAAGUUAGUUGUCUAUUGUGAUAUGUUUUCAAAGAGUCAGGUUGUUUGGGAAUGCAGCCUAAAUUGGGUGGUAAAUCUCACCUAAAGCUAAAUAUUUGCGAGAGACCGAUAGCGAACAAGUACCGUGAGGGAAAGAUGAAAAGAACUUUGAAAAGAGAGUUAAACAGUAUGUGAAAUUGUUAAAAGGGAACCGUUUGGAGCCAGACUGGCUUGACUGUAAUCAACCUAGAAUUCGUUUUGGGUGCACUUGCAGUUUCUGCCUGCCAACAACAGUUUGAUUUGGAGGAAAAAAUUAACUUGAAUGUGGCCUUUAUUUAUAAAGGUGUUAUAGCUUUUUAAUCAUACUCUGGAUUGGACUGAGGAUCGCAGUGAAUGCCUUUUUUUAAGGCAAAUUACUAGUUUGCUUUCGCUGAUAAAUGUCAGAAUUUCUGCCUUGGGUGGUGUUGAUAUUUAAAGGAGAAACUCAUUCUAGUAUAUUUUAAUUCGCUUAGGUUGUUGGCUUAAUGACUCUAAAUGACCCGUCUUGAAACACGGACCAAGGAGUCCACCAUAAGUGCAAGUAUUUGGGUGCCAAACUCAUAUGCGUAAGGAAACUGAUUGAUACGAAGUCUUUAUUGAUGGCAGUAUCGCCCGGGCGCUGACGUUUUAUACAUAAAUUGACCGAGGUAAAGCACUUUAUGAUGGGACCCGAAAGAUGGUGAACUAUGCCCUGAAUAGGGUGAAGCCCGAGGAAACUCUGGUGGAGGCUCGUAGCGAUUCUGACGUGCAAAUCGAUCGUCAAAUUCCGUAUAUAGCGAA
This 1119-nucleotide ribosomal RNA is filed under the name Chaetocladium jonesii. RNAcentral's name for it is "LSU rRNA". The stretch from base 142 to 1119 matches the Rfam family "Eukaryotic large subunit ribosomal RNA", at positions 1 to 927 of the family's 3401-position model. Lineage: Eukaryota; Fungi; Mucoromycota; Mucoromycetes; Mucorales; Chaetocladiaceae. The record is from RNAcentral.